Molecule: ribosomal RNA, 253 nt
Filed under: uncultured bacterium
Lineage: Bacteria
Description: partial 16S ribosomal RNA
Rfam family: Bacterial small subunit ribosomal RNA
Source: RNAcentral
UCCGUAGGGUGCAAGCGUUAAUCGGAAUUACUGGGCGUAAAGCGUGCGCAGGCGGUUUUGUAAGUCUGGUGGGAAAUCCCCGGGCUCAACCUGGGAAUUGCAUUGGAGACUGCAAGGCUAGAAUCUGGCAGAGGGGGGUAGAAUUCCACGUGUAGCAGUGAAAUGCGUAGAGAUGGGGAGGAACACCGAUGGCGAAGGCAGCCCCCUGGGUCAAGAUUGACGCUCAUGCACGAAAGCGUGGGGAGCAAACAGG